UUAGCUCAGUUGGUAGAGCGGCGCGUUUACAUCGCGUAGGUCGGCGGUUCGCCCGUUCCGUCGGUCG
This 67-nucleotide transfer RNA is filed under the name Rickettsiales bacterium. RNAcentral's name for it is "tRNA-Val". The stretch from base 2 to 57 matches the Rfam family "tRNA", at positions 8 to 63 of the family's 71-position model. Rfam says of the family: Transfer RNA (tRNA) molecules are approximately 80 nucleotides in length. Their secondary structure includes four short double-helical elements and three loops (D, anti-codon, and T loops). Further hydrogen bonds mediate the characteristic L-shaped molecular structure. tRNAs have two regions of fundamental functional importance: the anti-codon, which is responsible for specific mRNA codon recognition, and the 3' end, to which the tRNAs corresponding amino acid is attached (by aminoacyl-tRNA synthetases). tRNAs cope with the degeneracy of the genetic code in two manners: having more than one tRNA (with a specific anti-codon) for a particular amino acid; and 'wobble' base-pairing, i.e. permitting non-standard base-pairing at the 3rd anti-codon position. Lineage: Bacteria; Pseudomonadati; Pseudomonadota; Alphaproteobacteria; Rickettsiales. The record is from RNAcentral.